AGUAAGAUGCCUGAAGAAAGGGUUAUUUUGAUGUAAUAAAUUAAGUGUAAAUCACUCUUACUA
Molecule: transfer RNA, 63 nt
Filed under: Pochazia shantungensis
Lineage: Eukaryota; Metazoa; Arthropoda; Insecta; Hemiptera; Ricaniidae
Description: tRNA-Ile
Source: RNAcentral